RNAcentral lists this transfer RNA (69 nucleotides) under Ovis aries (sheep). It matches the Rfam family "tRNA". Rfam says of the family: Transfer RNA (tRNA) molecules are approximately 80 nucleotides in length. Their secondary structure includes four short double-helical elements and three loops (D, anti-codon, and T loops). Lineage: Eukaryota; Metazoa; Chordata; Mammalia; Artiodactyla; Bovidae. The record is from Rfam by way of RNAcentral.
CCUGGUGGCUCAGAGGUUAAAGCGUCUGCCUUCAAUGCGGGAGACCUGGGUUCGAUCCCUGGGUCAGGA